CAGGCUUAACACAUGCAAGUCGAGCGGGCAUAGCAAUAUGUCAGCGGCAGACGGGUGAGUAACGCGUGGGAACGUACCUUUUGGUUCGGAACAACACAGGGAAACUUGUGCUAAUACCGGAUAAGCCCUUACGGGGAAAGAUUUAUCGCCGAAAGAUCGGCCCGCGUCUGAUUAGCUAGUUGGUGAGGUAAUGGCUCACCAAGGCGACGAUCAGUAGCUGGUCUGAGAGGAUGAUCAGCCACAUUGGGACUGAGACACGGCCCAAACUCCUACGGGAGGCAGCAGUGGGGAAUAUUGGACAAUGGGCGCAAGCCUGAUCCAGCCAUGCCGCGUGAGUGAUGAAGGCCCUAGGGUUGUAAAGCUCUUUUGUGCGGGAAGAUAAUGACGGUACCGCAAGAAUAAGCCCCGGCUAACUUCGUGCCAGCAGCCGCGGUAAUACGAAGGGGGCUAGCGUUGCUCGGAAUCACUGGGCGUAAAGGGUGCGUAGGCGGGUCUUUAAGUCAGGGGUGAAAUCCUGGAGCUCAACUCCAGAACUGCCUUUGAUACUGAAGAUCUUGAGUUCGGGAGAGGUGAGUGGAACUGCGAGUGUAGAGGUGAAAUCCGUAGAUAUCCCAAGACACCAGUGGCGAAGGC
RNAcentral lists this ribosomal RNA (633 nucleotides) under uncultured bacterium. RNAcentral's name for it is "bacterial SSU rRNA". It matches the Rfam family "Bacterial small subunit ribosomal RNA", at positions 43 to 722 of the family's 1533-position model. The record is from RNAcentral.